UCCCAGCUCCAAUGGACCCGGACGCUUCGCGGUAGACCGAGGGCCGCGCGGCAGCUGUGUGAGAAAGAAGUCAAGCGCGCUUGCGUGGAACGAUGUGUCAUUCUCAUUCAGUCUCUCACACCUGCUGAGAGAACAGCUGCUAGUGAGGAGGAACGGGGGUGGAUCCAAUCCUUGACAAUGAAGCCAUUCGAUAGCCGGGGUUGGAAUUUGCAUAGUUAGGCUGCCCUUUGUCCCGUUUGAGAUUAACCAUUCAGGAGAGCGGGCGCAAGAGGGGAAAGAGCCGCAGAUAUGUUACUGUCCUGAGCAGAUCAUUUCCCUAUUCUUUCGAUGUCUAGAUCGGUUGACACGUGCCCAAUCCAAGGAAACCAUUUCCAAGCAUUUACUCAGGUCCCUUAGACUUAUGUGACUAAUGUGAUCCAUGGAACACAGGACUUCUGGUGGCAAUGCUUCUUCCAGCUGCAGUUUGGGUUUUGAUCCAACCCAAUGAGAAUGUAAGAAAUGGAUUACCAAGCUACACAGCAAGUUUCCUAGAUCAUCCACAGAAGUCAUGUCAUACUUUCACUCUUUGAUGCUGCAGUGGUUAGCUAGUCUGUGCUUUGAGUUCUUUGCUUCCCUUAAAAGUCAAUUUUGACUGAAAUUAAUGAAUCAAAAGUG
Sphaerodactylus townsendi is the source of this 654-nucleotide long non-coding RNA. RefSeq lists it as uncharacterized. The transcript has 4 exons. The record is from RefSeq and is a predicted model, not a curated record. Lineage: Eukaryota; Metazoa; Chordata; Lepidosauria; Squamata; Sphaerodactylidae.